RNAcentral lists this ribosomal RNA (315 nucleotides) under uncultured Alphaproteobacteria bacterium. RNAcentral's name for it is "bacterial SSU rRNA". It matches the Rfam family "Bacterial small subunit ribosomal RNA", at positions 154 to 504 of the family's 1533-position model. Lineage: Bacteria; Pseudomonadati; Pseudomonadota; Alphaproteobacteria. The record is from RNAcentral.
AAACUUGAGCUAAUACCGGAUAAUGACUUCGGUCCAAAGAUUUAUCGCCUAGGGAUGAGCCCGCGUAGGAUUAGCUAGUUGGUGAGGUAAAGGCCCACCAAGGCUACGAUCCUUAGCUGGUCUGAGAGGAUGAUCAGCCACACUGGGACUGAGACGCGGCCCAGACUCCUACGGGAGGCAGCAGUGGGGAAUAUUGGACAAUGGGCGAAAGCCUGAUCCAGCAAUGCCGCGUGAGUGAUGAAGCCUUAGGGUUGUAAAGCUCUUUUACCCGGGAUGAUAAUGACAGUACCGGGAGAAUAAGCUCCGGCUAACUCC